RNAcentral lists this ribosomal RNA (986 nucleotides) under Bacillus pumilus. Its description in RNAcentral is "bacterial SSU rRNA". It matches the Rfam family "Bacterial small subunit ribosomal RNA", at positions 57 to 1025 of the family's 1533-position model. The record is from RNAcentral. Lineage: Bacteria; Bacillati; Bacillota; Bacilli; Caryophanales; Bacillaceae.
GCAAGUCGAGCGGACAGAAGGGAGCUUGCUCCCGGAUGUUAGCGGCGGACGGGUGAGUAACACGUGGGUAACCUGCCUGUAAGACUGGGAUAACUCCGGGAAACCGGAGCUAAUACCGGAUAGUUCCUUGAACCGCAUGGUUCAAGGAUGAAAGACGGUUUCGGCUGUCACUUACAGAUGGACCCGCGGCGCAUUAGCUAGUUGGUGGGGUAAUGGCUCACCAAGGCGACGAUGCGUAGCCGACCUGAGAGGGUGAUCGGCCACACUGGGACUGAGACACGGCCCAGACUCCUACGGGAGGCAGCAGUAGGGAAUCUUCCGCAAUGGACGAAAGUCUGACGGAGCAACGCCGCGUGAGUGAUGAAGGUUUUCGGAUCGUAAAGCUCUGUUGUUAGGGAAGAACAAGUGCGAGAGUAACUGCUCGCACCUUGACGGUACCUAACCAGAAAGCCACGGCUAACUACGUGCCAGCAGCCGCGGUAAUACGUAGGUGGCAAGCGUUGUCCGGAAUUAUUGGGCGUAAAGGGCUCGCAGGCGGUUUCUUAAGUCUGAUGUGAAAGCCCCCGGCUCAACCGGGGAGGGUCAUUGGAAACUGGGAAACUUGAGUGCAGAAGAGGAGAGUGGAAUUCCACGUGUAGCGGUGAAAUGCGUAGAGAUGUGGAGGAACACCAGUGGCGAAGGCGACUCUCUGGUCUGUAACUGACGCUGAGGAGCGAAAGCGUGGGGAGCGAACAGGAUUAGAUACCCUGGUAGUCCACGCCGUAAACGAUGAGUGCUAAGUGUUAGGGGGUUUCCGCCCCUUAGUGCUGCAGCUAACGCAUUAAGCACUCCGCCUGGGGAGUACGGUCGCAAGACUGAAACUCAAAGGAAUUGACGGGGGCCCGCACAAGCGGUGGAGCAUGUGGUUUAAUUCGAAGCAACGCGAAGAACCUUACCAGGUCUUGACAUCCUCUGACAACCCUAGAGAUAGGGCUUUCCCUUCGGGG